CCUACGGGUGGCAGCAGUGAGGAAUCUUGGUCAAUGGCCGAGAGGCUGAACCAGCCAAGUCGCGUGAGGGAAGAAUGUCCUCUGGAUUGUAAACCUCUUUUGUCAGGGAGCAAAGUCACCCACGUGUGGGUGCUGGAGAGUACCUGAAGAAAACGCAUCGGCUAACUCCGUGCCAGCAGCCGCGGUAAUACGGAGGAUGCGAGCGUUAUCCGGAUUUAUUGGGUUUAAGGGUGCGUAGGCGGGUUAUCAAGUCAGCGGUAAAUUCGUGGAGCUUAACUCCAUCCAGCCGUUGAAACUGAUGGUCUUGAGUGGGCGAGAGGUAUGCGGAAUGCGUGGUGUAGCGGUGAAAUGCAUAGAUAUCACGCAGAACACCAAUGGCGAAGGCAGCAUACCGGCGCCCGACUGACGCUGAAGCACGAAAGCGUGGGUAGCGAACAGGAUUAGAUACCCGAGUAGUC
Molecule: ribosomal RNA, 458 nt
Filed under: uncultured bacterium
Lineage: Bacteria
Description: partial 16S ribosomal RNA
Rfam family: Bacterial small subunit ribosomal RNA
Source: RNAcentral